RNAcentral lists this ribosomal RNA (237 nucleotides) under uncultured Planctomycetota bacterium. Its description in RNAcentral is "uncultured planctomycete partial 16S ribosomal RNA". It matches the Rfam family "Bacterial small subunit ribosomal RNA", at positions 592 to 827 of the family's 1533-position model. The record is from RNAcentral. Lineage: Bacteria; Pseudomonadati; Planctomycetota.
UUGUGAAAGCCUUCCGCUCAACGGGAGAACGGCAGCCGAUACUGCAUAGCUUGAGUGCGGGAGGGGAGAGUGGAACUUCUGGUGGAGCGGUGAAAUGCGUAGAUAUCAGAAGGAACGCCGGCGGCGAAAGCGGCUCUCUGGCCCGUAACUGACGCUGAGUGUGCGAAAGCUAGGGGAGCAAACGGGAUUAGAUACCCCGGUAGUCCUAGCCGUAAACGAUGGGCACUAAGUAGAGGG